UAGGGAAUAUUGGACAAUGGGUGCAAGCCUGAUCCAGCCAUGCCGCGUGCAGGAAGAAGGCCUUAUGGGUUGUAAACUGCUUUUGCCAGGGGAUAAAAUACGGAUGCGUCCGGAAUUGAAGGUACCUGGUGAAUAAGCCACGGCUAACUACGUGCCAGCAGCCGCGGUAAUACGUAGGUGGCAAGCGUUGUCCGGAUUUAUUGGGUUUAAAGGGUGCGUAGGCGGUUUUUUAAGUCAGUGGUGAAAUACUUCAGCUCAACUGGAGAGGUGCCAUUGAUACUGGGAAACUUGAGUACUGAUGAGGUAGGCGGAAUGGACGGUGUAGCGGUGAAAUGCUUAGAUAUCGUCCAGAACACCGAUAGCGAAGGCAGCUUACUAAGGAGUAACUGACGCUGAGGCACGAAAGUGUGGGGAUCAAACA
RNAcentral lists this ribosomal RNA (421 nucleotides) under uncultured bacterium. RNAcentral's name for it is "bacterial SSU rRNA". It matches the Rfam family "Bacterial small subunit ribosomal RNA", at positions 355 to 774 of the family's 1533-position model. The record is from RNAcentral.